AAGUCACUCUUGGGAUGGAGAGAUGGGUCAUUUGGUAACGUGCUUGCUAUGCAAGCAUGGGACUUGAACCCCUGAAUCCAAUCCAUAGAACCCCCCACAAACGCUUCACAAAGGACUAGCUACUUUGACGUCCUUUGUGCCCUCUAGCCUAUCAGUGAAUCAACUGUCUUUUCGAUUUUUACUGAAAUGACCCAAACACGCUGCAAUUUCUCGGACAGCCAACCUCUCUGUGACCCAGGGCCGAUCUGUGUAACUCUGUUGAAUCAUGGCUGCUUGUGGCACUGCCUCUGCCGCUCGCCAACACUGGACAGCUCCUGGAUUUUGCAGCAUAGCCCUGGCACCAGACGCUCUCAUCUGAAUACCCCACAGUGAUCACUCGCAGACCUCCUAAGCAGACUCCAGUUCCGGUUUCUCCCCUGAGUGCCAGAUUCCAGCUGACUUGUGAGCGACUUCAUACGGUGUUCACACAGGAACCUCCGAAUGAACGUAUCCAGGACUGGAGGAGGCUUGGCUUCCUAAAGUUCUCCCCAGUCCCUACAGACCUCUACCAGCACACAACUUCGGCUUUGACAAUGUCAAAUAUU
Molecule: long non-coding RNA, 584 nt
Organism: Alexandromys fortis (reed vole)
Lineage: Eukaryota; Metazoa; Chordata; Mammalia; Rodentia; Cricetidae
Exons: 2
Source: RefSeq, a predicted model, not a curated record